RNAcentral lists this ribosomal RNA (492 nucleotides) under uncultured bacterium. Its description in RNAcentral is "partial 16S ribosomal RNA". It matches the Rfam family "Bacterial small subunit ribosomal RNA", at positions 29 to 523 of the family's 1533-position model. The record is from RNAcentral.
AUUGAACGCUGGCGGCAUGCUUUACACAUGCAAGUCGAACGGUAACAGGUUAAGCUGACGAGUGGCGAACGGGUGAGUAAUGCAUCGGAACGUGCCCGAUCGUGGGGGAUAACGCAGCGAAAGCUGCGCUAAUACCGCAUACGAUCUGAGGAUGAAAGCGGGGGACCGUAAGGCCUCGCGCGAUCGGAGCGGCCGAUGUCAGAUUAGGUAGUUGGUGGGGUAAGGGCUCACCAAGCCAACGAUCUGUAGCCGGUCUGAGAGGACGACAGCCACACUGGGACUGAGACACGGCCCAGACUCCUACGGGAGGCAGCAGUGGGGAAUUUUGGACAAUGGGCGAAAGCCUGAUCCAGCAAUGCCGCGUGCAGGAAGAAGGCCUUCGGGUUGUAAACUGCUUUUGUACGGAGCGAAAAGGCUCUCUCUAAUACAGGGGGCUCAUGACGGUACCGUAAGAAUAAGCACCGGCUAACUACGUGCCAGCCGCCGCGGUAA